RNAcentral lists this ribosomal RNA (489 nucleotides) under uncultured bacterium. RNAcentral describes it as "partial 16S ribosomal RNA". It matches the Rfam family "Bacterial small subunit ribosomal RNA", at positions 29 to 504 of the family's 1533-position model. The record is from RNAcentral.
AGUGAACGCUGGCGGUAGGCCUAACACAUGCAAGUCGAACGGCAGCACAGUAAGAGCUUGCUCUUACGGGUGGCGAGUGGCGGACGGGUGAGGAAUACAUCGGAAUCUACUUUUUCGUGGGGGAUAACGUAGGGAAACUUACGCUAAUACCGCAUACGACCUACGGGUGAAAGCAGGGGAUCUUCGGACCUUGCGCGAUUGAAUGAGCCGAUGUCGGAUUAGCUAGUUGGCGGGGUAAAGGCCCACCAAGGCGACGAUCCGUAGCUGGUCUGAGAGGAUGAUCAGCCACACUGGAACUGAGACACGGUACAGACUCCUACGGGAGGCAGCAGUGGGGAAUAUUGGACAAUGGGCGCAAGCCUGAUCCAGCCAUACCGCGUGGGUGAAGAAGGCCUUCGGGUUGUAAAGCCCUUUUGUUGGGAAAGAAAAGCAGCAGGUUAAUACCCCGCUGUUCUGACGGUACCCAAAGAAUAAGCACCGGCUAACUUC